CAGUCGCCGCGGUAAUACGUAGGGUGCAAGCGUUAUCCGGAAUUAUUGGGCGUAAAGAGCUCGUAGGCGGUUUGUCGCGUCUGCUGUGAAAACUGAAGGCUCAACCUCCAGCCUGCAGUGGGUACGGGCAGACUAGAGUGCGGUAGGGGAGAUUGGAAUUCCUGGUGUAGCGGUGGAAUGCGCAGAUAUCAGGAGGAACACCGAUGGCGAAGGCAGAUCUCUGGGCCGUAACUGACGCUGAGGAGCGAAAGCGUGGGGAGCGAACAGGAUUAGAUACCCCUGUAGUCCCUGUCUCUUAUAC
RNAcentral lists this ribosomal RNA (301 nucleotides) under uncultured bacterium. Its description in RNAcentral is "partial 16S ribosomal RNA". It matches the Rfam family "Bacterial small subunit ribosomal RNA", at positions 509 to 807 of the family's 1533-position model. The record is from RNAcentral.